Molecule: non-coding RNA, 29 nt
Filed under: Homo sapiens (human)
Lineage: Eukaryota; Metazoa; Chordata; Mammalia; Primates; Hominidae
Source: RNAcentral
UACUGUACUGAAAGUGAACAUGGUUGUGU